GUGGGGAGGGGUGCAGAGCCCAGGGCCCUACCCCCAGGAAGAGAAGCCAGACGUCGUGACCUGGGAUUCCUGGGUUGUCUGGCGUUUCCCAGGAGGGGCGGGAAAAGGUGCCCCACGGGCCCCCACAAAGCUAACCGGGCCCCCUCAUGAGUGGGGGUGGGGCGAGGAAGAGUAGCUUCCUACCCACCAGCCGUGUGGACGUUUGAAUCCUUCACCCGAGGGCCUCGGCCCGUUCCCCUGAGCGAGUCUGUGAGCCCCCACGACUUGUUUUAAAAGGGACGAGAGCAAUUGCGAAGUGUAAAUGAAAAGCCUCGCUCUCAGCUUCAGCCCCAACUCCUACUGUGUUCCAGCCUCUCCCCUGACUCUUACUCUGGAGGCUGCCAGGGUGUUGCUGCUGUACUUUAAGGCCAUCCUGUGGCUGCCCUGUCAGAAGAAAGCUUGAUGGUGGCGAGGAUUUUACAGAAAGUAAUUAGGACUUAGACUGAACGAACAUUUGCAAUAAAAGAAGGUUGUGUUAGCGCAGUGCUGGUGCCUGCAACUUUACCCCUGCCAAGGCCAAGAAAUUCUGCCACGUUUCCCUGAACACCUAUAACUUGGCCCCCUUGUGUACCGGCAGUAUUCCAUAUUAUUACAUGUGGUGCUGAUUUUUAAUGAAUAUUAUAAAACUUUGGCUCACUCUACUGAGAGAAGGAUCAUAAAUCCCCCCUGUAAAAUGGGCACUGGCAUAUGCUGAGGAAGCAGGGAAGCUUUGCCCUGGGAGUCUUGUGAUAUCAGCCAAAGUGUUACUCUGAACCACCUUCUUUUGAGGGCAGAGUUUUAAAAGGCCCCAUUUUGACCAUCUGUGUGAGAAGCUAAGAGAUGGUCGAAAGGAAGCUGAAGGGGCCAAGCUGAUUUUUCUAACAGCAUUGCAGGCACUCUCAUGUAGGUCUAGAACCACACGAAGUUUCUCUCUGCUAGCUUUUAUGGUUUCCAGAUGAAGAGAAGCCUCAGAGCUUAGAGCAGGUCUCAGUCUCCUCACUUUGAGUCUGGUGCCCCUUUUGACAGAACACCCUACUUCUGAGGUCCCUGUCUGGCGCCCUAGCCAGGACAGAGAAGACUGAUCUCUGGUCUGCUCUGGCAGGGCCAGUUCUUAGUCUUGCGGAUGGUGAUGUUUCUGCAUUCCUCACUCCUCAACCGGUAACACUCUCCAGACCAGAUUUUGAACACACACGUGCUGAAGGCCACCAGUGAAAAGACUGUAGGGUCACAUAGCUCAUACCAUUUCAAGGAUUCAUUGUCUAACUGGAGAUUGGCGGCACAGCCCUGGACCCACAGUUCAGGAUUAGAGAAUUUCUAGCUGCACAGAAUGUCCUUGGAAGGCUGACCCAGACCACCUUGAGGAGGGACAUGAUUCAUCUCCAGGGAGGUGGCUGUUUACAAGGUGUCAUGUGGGGGAGGCCCAGGACGAUGACGGGAUGUCAGCAUGGGAAGAGCAGAAGAGGAAGGCUUAAGUCAAAGACACCAACAGACAUGGAGAGAGCGGAAGGAAAGAAAAGUUGGACUAGAGAGAGAAUUGAGGGAAGGGUAAGAGGCCCCAGUGAAAGGCUUGAGUUUUUGUUUUGUUUUGGUUUGGUUUGGUUUGGUUUUUGUUUUUGUUUGUUUUCCAGAGCCACAGGAACAUUCUAUAGCUCUCAGUAGAGUUUGCAGAUGACCACGGGUUUAGAGUAUCAACUGCACUGUCCUGUAGAAUGCCUUUUGGGUAGCAGGCUCCGAAUAAAUGUUCGUUGAUUGAACGCAUUUCCCAUACGAUAGCAAGUAACAUGUUUGAACAUUUAAAUUCUGGAAAAAAAAAAAGAAAGAAAGAAAAGCUGAUAGGGUAGGGUUUCCAAGAUCUGAAUCACCGACCCUGCAAGACCUCCCAGAGGAAAAAAUUAAGAGGAAAAUAAAAUGUUUGAGAAUGACGAACAAAUUUCCUUCUGAAAUGAUAAGGAAAAAGACAUGGUCAAGCAUUUUAGGACUCCUCUAUCUGCACCUACCUUCCCCAAGUUGAGGUGUUUCUCCUUCCUGAAAGUCACUGAGACUUCUCAUGGUUUUGACGUAUCUGCCACAACCACACCAGCAUAUCAGUAAACAGUUACCAUUCAAGUGAGUGUUGGUAUGUGUAAUUUAUAGGACCCUCAGGCAAUAUGCAAAGAUAUAUAAAUUCAGAUGAUCUAAGUUACAGAAAAAUGUAGUUAGCUGAUUAAAUUAAGAAGUAGUGUUCAUAACCAGAGACUGAUAAGAUUUUAAGAUUAGUUUGUGCUGAUGUUUAUUCAUUUCCUGUUCAAACAUUCUUCAAAGCAGUGAUCAGACACCAAUCCAAUCUGGAAGAUACCUUGUUACUUUUCUCUUCCAUUCUGGCUUGUCUUAAGUGCCAAUUACACAUGUCAGGCAUUUUGCUGGUUUUUGCAUUCCUUUGCUCAUUGACAUCUAGAGCGGACUUCUCCCAGUAAGUACAUAAAGUGAUUUGUUCUUGUGUGUUUGUAAAACUUGGUUCUAUAACUGCCAGAUGUCUUUUGAAGUGGCAUUGUGGCACCGCCCCUCUUUUGGGAGGAACAUUGAGGUGUGGAGUAGGUCUGUUUUGUUCCCUAGAUAUCAAGAUGGAUGUAAUGUACAUAUUCUCCAACCAAAUCCUAGACUCUCGUGCAGUAGGAAUGAAAGGAGGCAAACCAUGUUCAAUGGCUAAAUAUUUGGUGUGGACCAAAAAAGGUAACUUCGCCAAACUAAGGGUAAGUAGAGCUCUCCCAAAAAUGUCUUUUGAGAGCAUAAAGUUGAAACUGCUGUGGGAGCAAAGAGCCUGGACAGACAGGAUUAUAAUAUGGAAUCCUUGGACUCCUUUGGGUUUUGCUUGUCUGCUUAUAGUCAUGCUGGGAAAGGCCUGGGAACAAAUGUGAAUGGCUUUACUCAUGACAUUUAGUAAGGACUUGCUGUGUCUGUGCACUGACCAGGCUGCUAACUGCUUGGCGUGGAUUAUCUCCUUCAGUCUUCAACAGUCAUCUUAUGGGCAAGAUUCUGGCGGUAGCCUUGUUUCACUGAUAAGGAAGUUCAAGUCAGAAGCCUGACUCAAGUCUGACUGGACUGAAAGCAAGGUGUUGGCAGGGCUGCAUUCCUUUUCAGAAGCUCUGGAGAAGAAUUUGUUACCUUGUCUUUUCCAGUUUCUAGAGGCUGCACACAUUCCUUGAGGCUUAAAAUGUUUUGUAUCUUUAAUCAAAGCUAAUUCUUCACUCGGAAAAGAGGGUGUUUUGAAUUUAAUGUGUAACAACUAUUCAGUGAAAAAGGAAAAUUGAAAUAAAUGUGUUCAUAAUAAAAA
This is a long non-coding RNA of Ailuropoda melanoleuca (giant panda), 3328 nucleotides long. RefSeq lists it as uncharacterized. The record is from RefSeq and is a predicted model, not a curated record. NCBI's taxonomy places the organism in Eukaryota, Metazoa, Chordata, Mammalia, Carnivora, Ursidae. The transcript is spliced from 6 exons.